RNAcentral lists this ribosomal RNA (905 nucleotides) under Plagiostoma yunnanense. Its description in RNAcentral is "LSU rRNA". It matches the Rfam family "Eukaryotic large subunit ribosomal RNA", at positions 38 to 964 of the family's 3401-position model. Lineage: Eukaryota; Fungi; Ascomycota; Sordariomycetes; Diaporthales; Gnomoniaceae. The record is from RNAcentral.
GCAUAUCAAUAAGCGGAGGAAAAGAAACCAACAGGGAUUGCCCUAGUAACGGCGAGUGAAGCGGCAACAGCUCAAAUUUGAAAUCUGGCUUCGGCCCGAGUUGUAAUUUGCAGAGGAUGUUUAUGGUGCGGUACCUUCCGAGUUCCCUGGAACGGGACGCCACAGAGGGUGAGAGCCCCGUCUGGUUGGAUACCAAACCUGUGUUAAACUCCUUCAACGAGUCGAGUAGUUUGGGAAUGCUGCUCUAAAUGGGAGGUAAAUCUCUUCUAAAGCUAAAUACUGGCCAGAGACCGAUAGCGCACAAGUAGAGUGAUCGAAAGAUGAAAAGCACCUUGAAAAGGGGGUUAAACAGUACGUGAAAUUGUUGAAAGGGAAGCGUUUAUGACCAGACUUGUGUCGUGUGGCUCAUCCGAGGUUCUCCCCGGUGCACUCCAGCACUCCACGCGGCUCAGGCCAACAUCGGUUCUUGUUGGAGGAUAAGAACAGUAGGAACGUAGCUCUCCUUCGGGGGAGUGUUAUAGCCUAUUGUACGAUACUCUGACGGGGACCGAGGACCGCGCUUCGGCUAGGAUGUUGGCGUAAUGGUCAUUAGCGACCCGUCUUGAAACACGGACCAAGGAGUCGUCCAUUAGAGCGAGCGUUUGGGUGUAAAACCCGCACGCGUAAUGAAAGUGAAAUUAGGUGAGAGCUUCGGCGCAUCAUCGACCGAUCCUGAAGUUUACGGAUGGAUUUGAGUAAGAGUUUUAACGGACGGACCCGAAAGACAGUGAACUAUGCUUGAAUAGGGUGAAGCCAGAGGAAACUCUGGUGGAGGCUCGCAGCGGUUCUGACGUGCAAAUCGAUCGUCAAAUUUGAGCAUGGGGGCGAAAGACUAAUCGAACUGUCUAGUAGCUGGUUACCGCCGA